This 460-nucleotide ribosomal RNA is filed under the name uncultured bacterium. Its description in RNAcentral is "partial 16S ribosomal RNA". It matches the Rfam family "Bacterial small subunit ribosomal RNA", at positions 338 to 795 of the family's 1533-position model. The record is from RNAcentral.
CCUACGGGUGGCAGCAGUGAGGAAUAUUGGUCAAUGGACGAGAGUCUGAACCAGCCAAGUAGCGUGAAGGAUGACUGCCCUAUGGGUUGUAAACUUCUUUUAUAUGGGAAUAAAAUGUUCCACGUGUGGGAUUUUGUAUGUACCAUAUGAAUAAGGAUCGGCUAACUCCGUGCCAGCAGCCGCGGUAAUACGGAGGAUCCGAGCGUUAUCCGGAGUUAUUGGGUUUAAAGGGAGCGUAGGUGGAUUGUUAAGUCAGUUGUGAAAGUUUGCGGCUCAACCGUAAAAUUGCAGUUGAAACUGGCAGUCUUGAGUACAGUAGAGGUGAGCGGAAUUCGUGGUGUAGCGGUGAAAUGCGUAGAUAUCACGAAGAACUCCGAUUGCGAAGGCAGUUCACUGGACUGCAACUGACACUGAGGCUCGAAAGUGUGGGUAUCAAACAGGAUUAGAUACCCUUGUAGUC